Papilio machaon (common yellow swallowtail) is the source of this 115-nucleotide non-coding RNA. The record is from Rfam. NCBI's taxonomy places the organism in Eukaryota, Metazoa, Arthropoda, Insecta, Lepidoptera, Papilionidae.
UUCCAGCUACGGUGACAUGGUGCCGGGGACAAUCGCCGGUAAGAUAGUGGGCGGCGUGUGCUCGCUGUCCGGAGUGCUUGUCAUCGCCCUGCCCGUGCCCGUCAUCGUCUCAAAC